RNAcentral lists this ribosomal RNA (280 nucleotides) under uncultured bacterium. RNAcentral's name for it is "partial 16S ribosomal RNA". It matches the Rfam family "Bacterial small subunit ribosomal RNA", at positions 30 to 306 of the family's 1533-position model. The record is from RNAcentral.
AUUGAACGCUGGCGGCAGGCCUAACACAUGCAAGUCGAGCGGUAACAGGGGAAGCUUGCUUCUCGCUGACGAGCGGCGGACGGGUGAGUAAUGUAUGGGGAUCUGCCCGAUAGAGGGGGAUAACCACUGGAAACGGUGGCUAAUACCGCAUAAUCUCUUAGGAGCAAAGCAGGGGAACUUCGGUCCUUGCGCUAUCGGAUGAACCCAUAUGGGAUUAGCUAGUAGGUGGGGUAAUGGCUCACCUAGGCGACGAUCCCCAGCUGGUCUGAGAGGAUGAUCA